AUCUUUCUUACAGUGUUUUAUUUGAAAUUAACUACUGCUCAAAGGGUGUCAAAGUUCAGGGAGUUAUUGGCCCUUGCGCAUCUCUCGAAAAGGUAUCAUUCAAAAGUGUGAUGGGAUCUUUGAUUCAUUAAGUUCGUUGUGAUGAAGAAGUUUACUUUCUGAUGAUUGUUUCCGGACCAUUAUGAGCCUCUGAUACUGGCAUCGGUCAAGGGCCACACAAGCGCUUGGAAGUUUACUUUCUGAUGAUUGUUUCCCCCUCUCCGUCCAUAUGUUUGGUUUUUGAAAUUGCUAAGAGGGAGACAGCUGAUGUCGUUUUGCAGUCGCUGAUCAAUCAGUUAUAUUCCAGUUUUUAACAUAUUAUCAUCACUCAAAUGGUCAAACAAGGCUCUGGGUUACAACUCUUUCAAGAAGAUGGGUCAUGGGAACUGAAAAAUUACUGGCAAGUUUUGAGUUAUAUUCGAGAGGUCAAAGGAGGUUGCGGCUAAGGAAGUCGAGAGUCGCCCUCCUCUUCAGGCAGCAGAUUCAACUUGAAGUUGUCCUCAAAUUCAACUUAAAGUUGUCAUCCUCGUCCGAGCUUCAAUGUUCCU
Brassica oleracea var. oleracea is the source of this 587-nucleotide long non-coding RNA. RefSeq lists it as uncharacterized. The transcript is spliced from 3 exons. The record is from RefSeq and is a predicted model, not a curated record. NCBI's taxonomy places the organism in Eukaryota, Viridiplantae, Streptophyta, Magnoliopsida, Brassicales, Brassicaceae.